This 433-nucleotide ribosomal RNA is filed under the name uncultured bacterium. RNAcentral's name for it is "partial 16S ribosomal RNA". It matches the Rfam family "Bacterial small subunit ribosomal RNA", at positions 29 to 507 of the family's 1533-position model. The record is from RNAcentral.
AACGAACGCUGGCGGCAUGCCUAACACAUGCAAGUCGAACGAGACCUUCGGGUCUAGUGGCGCACGGGUGCGUAACGCGUGGGAACCUGCCCUUAGGUUCGGAAUAACUCCCCGAAAGGGGUGCUAAUACCGGAUAAUGUCUUCGGACCAAAGAUUUAUCGCCUUUGGAUGGGCCCGCGUUGGAUUAGCUAGUUGGUAGGGUAAAAGCCUACCAAGGCGACGAUCCAUAGCUGGUCUGAGAGGAUGAUCAGCCACACUGGGACUGAGACGCGGCCCAGACUCCUACGGGAGGCAGCAGUGGGGAAUAUUGGACAAUGGGCGAAAUCCUGAACCAGCAAUGCCGCGUGAGUGAUGAAGGCCUUAGGGUUGUAAAGCUCUUUUACCCGCGAUGAUAAUGACAGUACCGGGAGAAUAAGCACCGGCUAACUCCGUG